This 235-nucleotide ribosomal RNA is filed under the name uncultured bacterium. RNAcentral's name for it is "partial 16S ribosomal RNA". It matches the Rfam family "Bacterial small subunit ribosomal RNA", at positions 87 to 339 of the family's 1533-position model. The record is from RNAcentral.
CGGCCUUAGUGGCGCACGGGUGCGUAACGCGUGGGAAUCUGCCCCUUGGUUCGGAAUAACAGUUGGAAACGACUGCUAAUACCGGAUGAUGACGUAAGUCCAAAGAUUUAUCGCCGAGGGAUGAGCCCGCGUAGGAUUAGGUAGUUGGUGUGGUAAAGGCGCACCAAGCCGACGAUCCUUAGCUGGUCUGAGAGGAUGAUCAGCCACACUGGGACUGAGACACGGCCCAGACUCC